ACAUCCAGAGAACUUAGCAGAGAUGCUUUGGUGCCUUCGGGAACUCUGAGACAGGUGCUGCAUGGCUGUCGUCAGCUCGUGUUGUGAAAUGUUGGGUUAAGUCCCGCAACGAGCGCAACCCUUAUCCUUUGUUGCCAGCGGCUCGGCCGGGAACUCAAAGGAGACUGCCGGUGAUAAACCGGAGGAAGGUGGGGAUGACGUCAAGUCAUCAUGGCCCUUACGGCCAGGGCUACACACGUGCUACAAUGGCGCAUACAAAGAGAAGCGACCUCGCGAGAGCAAGCGGACCUCAUAAAGUGCGUCGUAGUCCGGAUUGGAGUCUGCAACUCGACUCCAUGAAGUCGGAAUCGCUAGUAAUCGUAGAUCAGAAUGCUACGGUGAAUACGUUCCCGGGCCUUGUACACACCGCCCGUCACACCAUGGGAGUGGGUUGCAAAAGAAGUAGGUAGCUUAACCUUCGGGAGGGCGCUUACCACUUUGUGAUUCAUGACUGGGGUGAAGUCGUAACAAGGUAGGCGUACUACA
This 525-nucleotide ribosomal RNA is filed under the name uncultured bacterium. Its description in RNAcentral is "bacterial SSU rRNA". It matches the Rfam family "Bacterial small subunit ribosomal RNA", at positions 984 to 1509 of the family's 1533-position model. The record is from RNAcentral.